UGGGGAAUAUUGGACAAUGGGCGAAAGCCUGAUCCAGCAAUGCCGCGUGUGUGAAGAAGGCCUUCGGGUUGUAAAGCACUUUAAGUUGGGAGGAAAAGCUGAGUGUUAAUAGCAUUUAGUGUUGACGUUACCAACAGAAUAAGCACCGGCUAACUCCGUGCCAGCAGCCGCGGUAAUACGGAGGGUGCAAGCGUUAAUCGGAAUUACUGGGCGUAAAGCGCGCGUAGGUGGUUUAUUAAGUCAGAUGUGAAAGCCCCGGGCUCAACCUGGGAAUGGCAUUUGAGACUGGUAGGCUAGAGUAUGGUAGAGGUGAGUGGAAUUUCAGGUGUAGCGGUGAAAUGCGUAGAGAUCUGAAGGAACAUCAGUGGCGAAGGCGACUCACUGGGCCAUUACUGACACUGAGGUGCGAAAGCGUGGGUAGCAAACAGG
RNAcentral lists this ribosomal RNA (429 nucleotides) under uncultured bacterium. RNAcentral's name for it is "bacterial SSU rRNA". It matches the Rfam family "Bacterial small subunit ribosomal RNA", at positions 355 to 776 of the family's 1533-position model. The record is from RNAcentral.